This 73-nucleotide ribosomal RNA is filed under the name Sarcoptes scabiei. Its description in RNAcentral is "partial 28S ribosomal RNA". It matches the Rfam family "Eukaryotic large subunit ribosomal RNA", at positions 1 to 71 of the family's 3401-position model. The record is from RNAcentral. Lineage: Eukaryota; Metazoa; Arthropoda; Arachnida; Sarcoptiformes; Sarcoptidae.
CUCGACCUCAGAUCAAGCGAGAAUACCCGCUGAAUUUAAGCAUAUAAAUAAGCGGAGGAAAAGAAACCAAACA